GGUUAACGCUGGCGGGGCGCAUAACACAUGCAAGUCGAGCGAGGGCUUAUCUCCCGCAAGGGAGGUGAGUUCCUAGCGGCGAACGGGUGAGUAACACGUGGGCAACCUUUCCUAUCGCGGGGGAUAACACCGGGAAACCGAUGCUAAUACCGCAUGUCGUCACCGGUCGCAUGGCCGGUGAAGAAAGCAGCAAUGCACGAUGGGGUGGGCCCGCGGCCUAUCAACUAGUCGGUGGGGUAACGGCCUACCGAGGCGAUGACGGGUAGCUGGUCUGAGAGGACGACCAGCCACACGGGGACUGAGACACGGCCCCGACUCCUACGGGAGGCAGCGGUGAGGAAUCUUCCGCAAUGGGCGAAAGCCUGACGGAGCGACGCCGCGUGUGGGAUGAAGUCUUUCGGGAUGUAAACCACUGUCGGAGGGGAAGACAUCGACGGUACCCUCCAAGAAAGCCCCGGCUAACUACGUGC
This 470-nucleotide ribosomal RNA is filed under the name uncultured bacterium. Its description in RNAcentral is "bacterial SSU rRNA". It matches the Rfam family "Bacterial small subunit ribosomal RNA", at positions 28 to 508 of the family's 1533-position model. The record is from RNAcentral.